This is a long non-coding RNA of Paramisgurnus dabryanus, 483 nucleotides long. RefSeq lists it as uncharacterized. The record is from RefSeq and is a predicted model, not a curated record. NCBI's taxonomy places the organism in Eukaryota, Metazoa, Chordata, Actinopteri, Cypriniformes, Cobitidae.
AGUGCUCAGUAGAACUUCACACCAUACAGGGCCGUCUGUGGAGAUAUUAUGCAGGGGACGUGUUUGUGUGGAGGAUGCAGGGAUAAACGGACGUCUGACUAAAAUGAGCCUUCAAAACCUGAAACAGGCUUUGCAUUACACUGUAAUAAAGAUGUUUCUGAGAAGGAUGAGUUCAGAAGUCUCUGUUCUACUGCCACCUCAUUCAUCUUCCUCUUUUCUCUGAACUACAUGCUCUUAUCAGCCUAUCUAAGAUGAAGCAGUGAAAUUUUUGAAAAUUAACACGGACUCAAAGUUUAUUUACUUGCUUGAGAUCAUUGCUAUGAUUGAGAGAAAGCGGUCUCUUCUCGAUCUUGUUCUGUGCUUGUUUAUCAGUGAGUCAUUAUUAAAUGUGUAUUUAUUACUUCUGUCUUUAGGGAUAUUGACAAACAUGCGGUCACUAUCACACUGUUAAGUGUACUUCCCAUAUCAUGUGUACUUUUUAAG